Molecule: ribosomal RNA, 120 nt
Filed under: uncultured bacterium
Lineage: Bacteria
Description: partial 16S ribosomal RNA
Rfam family: Bacterial small subunit ribosomal RNA
Source: RNAcentral
AUUGAACGCUGGCGGCGUGCCUAACACAUGCAAGUCGAGCGGCAGCGCGGGGGCAACCCUGGCGGCGAGCGGCGGACGGGUGAGUAACGCUUGGGAAUCUGCCUGUUAGUGGGGGACAAC